This 2905-nucleotide ribosomal RNA is filed under the name Klebsiella aerogenes. RNAcentral's name for it is "23S ribosomal RNA". It matches the Rfam family "Bacterial large subunit ribosomal RNA". Lineage: Bacteria; Pseudomonadati; Pseudomonadota; Gammaproteobacteria; Enterobacterales; Enterobacteriaceae. The record is from RNAcentral.
GGUUAAGCGACUAAGCGUACACGGUGGAUGCCCUGGCAGUCAGAGGCGAUGAAGGACGUGCUAAUCUGCGAAAAGCGUCGGUAAGGUGAUAUGAACCGUUAUAACCGGCGAUGUCCGAAUGGGGAAACCCAGUGCAAUUCGUUGCACUAUCGUUAACUGAAUACAUAGGUUAACGAGGCGAACCGGGGGAACUGAAACAUCUAAGUACCCCGAGGAAAAGAAAUCAACCGAGAUUCCCCCAGUAGCGGCGAGCGAACGGGGAGCAGCCCAGAGUCUGAAUCAGCUUGUGUGUUAGUGGAACGGUCUGGAAAGUCCGACGGUACAGGGUGAUAGUCCCGUACACCAAAAUGCACAGGCUGUGAACUCGAAGAGUAGGGCGGGACACGUGGUAUCCUGUCUGAAUAUGGGGGGACCAUCCUCCAAGGCUAAAUACUCCUGACUGACCGAUAGUGAACCAGUACCGUGAGGGAAAGGCGAAAAGAACCCCGGCGAGGGGAGUGAAAAAGAACCUUAAACCGUGUACGUACAAGCAGUGGGAGCACCUUCGGGUGUGACUGCGUACCUUUUGUAUAAUGGGUCAGCGACUUAUAUUCUGUAGCAAGGUUAACCGUAUAGGGGAGCCGCAGGGAAACCGAGUCUUAACUGGGCGUUAAGUUGCAGGGUAUAGACCCGAAACCCGGUGAUCUAGCCAUGGGCAGGUUGAAGGUUGGGUAACACUAACUGGAGGACCGAACCGACUAAUGUUGAAAAAUUAGCGGAUGACUUGUGGCUGGGGGUGAAAGGCCAAUCAAACCGGGAGAUAGCUGGUUCUCCCCGAAAGCUAUUUAGGUAGCGCCUCGUGAAUUCAUCUUCGGGGGUAGAGCACUGUUUCGGCUAGGGGGUCAUCCCGACUUACCAACCCGAUGCAAACUACGAAUACCGAAGAAUGUUAUCACGGGAGACACACGGCGGGUGCUAACGUCCGUCGUGAAGAGGGAAACAACCCAGACCGCCAGCUAAGGUCCCAAAGUCACAGUUAAGUGGGAAACGAUGUGGGAAGGCACAGACAGCCAGGAUGUUGGCUUAGAAGCAGCCAUCAUUUAAAGAAAGCGUAAUAGCUCACUGGUCGAGUCGGCCUGCGCGGAAGAUGUAACGGGGCUAAACUGUGCACCGAAGCUGCGGCAGCGACACUAUGUGUUGUUGGGUAGGGGAGCGUUCUGUAAGCCUGCGAAGGUGGCCUGUGAGGGUUGCUGGAGGUAUCAGAAGUGCGAAUGCUGACAUAAGUAACGAUAAUGCGGGUGAAAAGCCCGCACGCCGGAAGACCAAGGGUUCCUGUCCAACGUUAAUCGGGGCAGGGUGAGUCGACCCCUAAGGCGAGGCCGAAAGGCGUAGUCGAUGGGAAACAGGUUAAUAUUCCUGUACUUGGUGUUACUGCGAAGGGGGGACGGAGAAGGCUAUGUUAGCCGGGCGACGGUUGUCCCGGUUUAAGCAUGUAGGCGGAGGUUCCAGGUAAAUCCGGUACCUUUUUAACGCUGAGGUGUGAUGACGAGGCACUACGGUGCUGAAGUAACAAAUGCCCUGCUUCCAGGAAAAGCCUCUAAGCAUCAGGUAACAUUAAAUCGUACCCCAAACCGACACAGGUGGUCAGGUAGAGAAUACCAAGGCGCUUGAGAGAACUCGGGUGAAGGAACUAGGCAAAAUGGUGCCGUAACUUCGGGAGAAGGCACGCUGAUAUGUAGGUGAAGCCCCUGCGGGUGGAGCUGAAAUCAGUCGAAGAUACCAGCUGGCUGCAACUGUUUAUUAAAAACACAGCACUGUGCAAACACGAAAGUGGACGUAUACGGUGUGACGCCUGCCCGGUGCCGGAAGGUUAAUUGAUGGGGUUAUCCGUAAGGAGAAGCUCUUGAUCGAAGCCCCGGUAAACGGCGGCCGUAACUAUAACGGUCCUAAGGUAGCGAAAUUCCUUGUCGGGUAAGUUCCGACCUGCACGAAUGGCGUAAUGAUGGCCAGGCUGUCUCCACCCGAGACUCAGUGAAAUUGAACUCGCUGUGAAGAUGCAGUGUACCCGCGGCAAGACGGAAAGACCCCGUGAACCUUUACUAUAGCUUGACACUGAACAUUGAGCCUUGAUGUGUAGGAUAGGUGGGAGGCUUUGAAGCGUGGACGCCAGUCUGCGUGGAGCCAACCUUGAAAUACCACCCUUUAAUGUUUGAUGUUCUAACGUUGGCCCCUUAUCGGGGUUGCGGACAGUGUCUGGUGGGUAGUUUGACUGGGGCGGUCUCCUCCCAAAGAGUAACGGAGGAGCACGAAGGUUAGCUAAUCCUGGUCGGACAUCAGGAGGUUAGUGCAAUGGCAUAAGCUAGCUUGACUGCGAGCGUGACGGCGCGAGCAGGUGCGAAAGCAGGUCAUAGUGAUCCGGUGGUUCUGAAUGGAAGGGCCAUCGCUCAACGGAUAAAAGGUACUCCGGGGAUAACAGGCUGAUACCGCCCAAGAGUUCAUAUCGACGGCGGUGUUUGGCACCUCGAUGUCGGCUCAUCACAUCCUGGGGCUGAAGUAGGUCCCAAGGGUAUGGCUGUUCGCCAUUUAAAGUGGUACGCGAGCUGGGUUUAGAACGUCGUGAGACAGUUCGGUCCCUAUCUGCCGUGGGCGCUGGAGAAUUGAGGGGGGCUGCUCCUAGUACGAGAGGACCGGAGUGGACGCAUCACUGGUGUUCGGGUUGUCAUGCCAAUGGCAUUGCCCGGUAGCUAAAUGCGGAAGAGAUAAGUGCUGAAAGCAUCUAAGCACGAAACUUGCCCCGAGAUGAGUUCUCCCUGAGACUUUAAGUCUCCUGAAGGAACGUUAAAGACGAUGACGUUGAUAGGUCGGGUGUGUAAGCGUAGCGAUACGUUGAGCUAACCGAUACUAAUGAACCGUGAGGCUUAACCUU